CUAUUUUUCCUUAUGUUACCUGCUUCCUUCCAUUUCACUCUUUUGAUUGGUUAAUUAGUACUUGAGAAUGCAUUUUGUUGGUCUUAUUCAUCUUUCUUUUCUUUUUCACAACUUUUUUAAGAAGUCGUUUUUAACUUCAUAUUUUUUUUCCUUUUUUUUUAAAUUUCUUUUGACCACUUUCUUUAGUACCCCAACCCCAAAUUCAAACGUUGCUAAUUG
RNAcentral lists this long non-coding RNA (219 nucleotides) under Lathyrus oleraceus (garden pea). RNAcentral describes it as "Pisum sativum (pea) long non-coding RNA (PSAT_LNC018917)". Lineage: Eukaryota; Viridiplantae; Streptophyta; Magnoliopsida; Fabales; Fabaceae. The record is from RNAcentral.